This 359-nucleotide long non-coding RNA is filed under the name Carica papaya (papaya). RNAcentral describes it as "long non-coding RNA (CPAP_LNC012220)". The record is from RNAcentral. Lineage: Eukaryota; Viridiplantae; Streptophyta; Magnoliopsida; Brassicales; Caricaceae.
CUUAUUGGGUACCCAAAGAAAUGAGGGACGGACCCAGUACAUAGGAAACCCUACCGUGAACGUCACUUCAGUCGGACGGGGCUGAGAAGUCCCAUACUGAAAAUAUUUGGGAGAUAUGGUUCACCCUCAUACCGGACAGGGUAUCGAGACGAUGAAAUAUUUGACGCCUAUUACCGGAUGGGGUGUAGGGACGACUGAUUAAUUGUUAAAAUUAGAUAUUGGAUUUACGAGUAAGGGGACAUUCCUAUAGACCCCUAAGGGUACCAGUAAGCAAGGAAGAAAAAAAAAUUGUCGUCUCUUAUUCUUUUAGGCGUGAAACUGAAAAGUGGUAUGAAUAUGAGUUUUCAUAGGUUAUUUUU